GCAGGUAUGGCGGAAUAGGCAGACGCGCUGGACUUAGAAUCCAGUGGGUAACCGUAGGAGUUCGAGUCUCCUUACCUGCA
This 80-nucleotide transfer RNA is filed under the name compost metagenome. Its description in RNAcentral is "tRNA-Leu". It matches the Rfam family "tRNA". From Rfam's summary of the family: Transfer RNA (tRNA) molecules are approximately 80 nucleotides in length. Their secondary structure includes four short double-helical elements and three loops (D, anti-codon, and T loops). The record is from RNAcentral.